AUUUUAUUUCUAGUGAUUGGAAUGAUGGGAAUUUAAACCCCUUUCAGAGUAACAAUUGGAGGGCAAGUCUGGUGCCAGCAGCCGCGGUAAUUCCAGCUCCAAUAGCGUAUAUUAAAGUUGUUGCAGUUAAAAAGCUCGUAGUUGGAUAUCUGCUGGAAGCAAUCAGUCCGCCCUAUUUGUAGGGUGUGCACUUGAUGAAUUCUGGCAUCUAUUAUGUCCCGAUAGUAAUUCGGAGAAGGGCUAUUGAACGAAAGUUCAGUAACUUGGGUCCCCGAUUUUUUUAUUGGGAAAAUACUGUUACUUUGAAAAAAUUAAAGGGUUUGAAGCAGGGUAAUUGCCUUGAAUACUGCAGCAUGGAAUAACAAUAUAGGAUUUCGGUUCUUUUUUGUUGGUUUCUAGGACUGAAAUAAUGAUUAAAAGGGACAGUUGGGGGCAUUCCUAUUUAACUGUCAAAGGGGAAAUUCUUAAAUUUGUUAAAAACAAACUACUGCCAAAGCAUUUGCCAAAAAUGUUUUCAUUAAUCAAAAACGAAAGUUAGGGGCUCGAAAACCAUCAAAUACCGUCCUAAUCUUAACCAUAAACUAUGCCGACUAGAGAUAGGAAAAUGUCAUUUUGCUGACUUCUCCUGCACC
RNAcentral lists this ribosomal RNA (632 nucleotides) under Sarcocystis grueneri. Its description in RNAcentral is "bacterial SSU rRNA". It matches the Rfam family "Eukaryotic small subunit ribosomal RNA", at positions 492 to 1087 of the family's 1831-position model. The record is from RNAcentral. Lineage: Eukaryota; Apicomplexa; Conoidasida; Eucoccidiorida; Sarcocystidae.